This is a long non-coding RNA of Bufo gargarizans (Asiatic toad), 177 nucleotides long. RefSeq lists it as uncharacterized. The transcript has 3 exons. The record is from RefSeq and is a predicted model, not a curated record. Lineage: Eukaryota; Metazoa; Chordata; Amphibia; Anura; Bufonidae.
UUUGCAUUUUGCAUAUCGAGGGGAAGCCAACAAUAAGACCUGCAGUGACUUCCCCAGGAGCGGAGAGAGGAGAACGCCCCCAAGCUGAGAAAAGAGGAGUCAAUAACAUCACCCUCUAUGUCGGCCUGGGGCUAUACGGUGCAGUACAGAUUGCAUCUGUACUCCUCUUCAUCUUCU